RNAcentral lists this non-coding RNA (29 nucleotides) under Rattus norvegicus (Norway rat). Lineage: Eukaryota; Metazoa; Chordata; Mammalia; Rodentia; Muridae. The record is from RNAcentral.
UCAGCAGCAGACUAGAUCGAGCUUUCUCC